RNAcentral lists this transfer RNA (55 nucleotides) under Longicollum sp. (in: thorny-headed worms). Its description in RNAcentral is "tRNA-Thr". Lineage: Eukaryota; Metazoa; Acanthocephala; Palaeacanthocephala; Echinorhynchida; Pomphorhynchidae. The record is from RNAcentral.
GUCCAUGUUAGUUUAAAGAGAAUGGGGGUUUUGUAAGUCUCAGGUAGAGUGGGCU